UACGGAAGGCAGCAGUGGGGAAUAUUGCACAAUGGGCGAAAGCCUGAUGCAGCUAUGCCGCGUGUAUGAAGAAGGCCUUAGGGUUGUAAAGUACUUUCAUCGGGGAGGAAAAAACAAAACUAAUAAUUUUAUUUCUUGACGUUACCCGAAAAAGAAGCACCGGCUAACUCCGUGCCAGCAGCCGCGGUAAUACGGAGGGUGCUAGCGUUAAUCAGAAUUACUGGGCGUAAAGAGCACGUAGGUGGUUUUUUUAAGUCAGAUGUGAAAUCCCUGGGCUUAACCUGGAACUGCAUUUUGAAACUGAAAUACUAGAGUAUCGUAGAGGGAGGUAGAAUUCUAGGUGUAGCGGUGAAAUGCGUAGAUAUCUGGAGGAAUACCUGUGGCGAAAGCGGCCUCCUAAACGAAUACUGACACUGAGGUGCGAAAGCGUGGGGAGCAAACGAGGGAUUUAGAUACC
This 457-nucleotide ribosomal RNA is filed under the name uncultured bacterium. RNAcentral's name for it is "bacterial SSU rRNA". It matches the Rfam family "Bacterial small subunit ribosomal RNA", at positions 340 to 786 of the family's 1533-position model. The record is from RNAcentral.